RNAcentral lists this transfer RNA (69 nucleotides) under Scotomedes sp. HL-2012. Its description in RNAcentral is "tRNA-Ser". It matches the Rfam family "tRNA". From Rfam's summary of the family: Transfer RNA (tRNA) molecules are approximately 80 nucleotides in length. Lineage: Eukaryota; Metazoa; Arthropoda; Insecta; Hemiptera; Velocipedidae. The record is from RNAcentral.
AGUUAAAUAGCUUAAACAAAGCAUAUAUUUUGAAAAUAUAAUAAAUAGGUUAAAUUCCUAUAUUAACUU